RNAcentral lists this unclassified non-coding RNA (386 nucleotides) under rhizosphere metagenome. Its description in RNAcentral is "partial ribosomal RNA internal transcribed spacer region". The record is from RNAcentral.
GUAGGUGAACCUGCGGAAGGAUCAUUAACACGUUAUCCACGUAUCCACCAACGAGAUGUACGUUUUCAACGCUCUCCUCUGGGAGAAUGAACUGAGCCUUCGUAGAGUUAUUGAAAGGGAUGCUCACGCGUCAGACUCUACUCGCCACUUGCAUCGUCACGGCCAUUGCUGCGUCGGUGCAGACAGUUGUAUUUUCUGGAGGACUCUCGCUCACUAUGUUCGGGUCUCCUUUCAUUGACUUUUUCUGUGAGCAAUAAUUUACCCAUUUCACCCCCUUUUUGCUAGUUGACUUUUAUCUGUUGCAUAUUGUGUUUCGGCACGUGUGCACACGUUUAAUUAUUUGAACGUUAAAAAUACAACUCUUAGCAAUGGAUAUCUAGGUUCUC